GCGGGAGUAGCUCAAUUGGCAGAGCGUCAGCCUUCCAAGCUGAAGGUUGCGGGUUCGAGACUCGUCUCCCGCU
Molecule: transfer RNA, 73 nt
Filed under: Bacteroidales bacterium
Lineage: Bacteria; Pseudomonadati; Bacteroidota; Bacteroidia; Bacteroidales
Also listed under: 1 other name
Description: tRNA-Gly
Rfam family: tRNA
About the family: Transfer RNA (tRNA) molecules are approximately 80 nucleotides in length. Their secondary structure includes four short double-helical elements and three loops (D, anti-codon, and T loops). Further hydrogen bonds mediate the characteristic L-shaped molecular structure. tRNAs have two regions of fundamental functional importance: the anti-codon, which is responsible for specific mRNA codon recognition, and the 3' end, to which the tRNAs corresponding amino acid is attached (by aminoacyl-tRNA synthetases). tRNAs cope with the degeneracy of the genetic code in two manners: having more than one tRNA (with a specific anti-codon) for a particular amino acid; and 'wobble' base-pairing, i.e. permitting non-standard base-pairing at the 3rd anti-codon position.
Source: RNAcentral